This 467-nucleotide ribosomal RNA is filed under the name uncultured bacterium. RNAcentral describes it as "partial 16S ribosomal RNA". It matches the Rfam family "Bacterial small subunit ribosomal RNA", at positions 330 to 793 of the family's 1533-position model. The record is from RNAcentral.
CCCAGACUCCUACGGGAGGCAGCAGUGAGGAAUAUUGGUCAAUGGCCGGAAGGCUGAACCAGCCAAGUCGCGUGAGGGACGACUGCCCUAUGGGUUGUAAACCUCUUUUAUAAGGGAAGAAUAAAUGCUACGUGUAGCAUGAUGCCUGUACCUUAUGAAUAAGCAUCGGCUAACUCCGUGCCAGCAGCCGUGGUAAUACGGAGGGUGCGAGCGUUAAUCGGAAUUACUGGGCGUAAAGCGCACGUAGGCUGUAUGACAAGUCAAGGGUGAAAUGCCACGGCUCAACCGUGGAACUGCCUUUGAAACUGUCAAACUGGAGUAUGUGAGAGGGCGGCGGAAUUCCUGGUGUAGGAGUGAAAUCCGUAGAUAUCAGGAGGAACAUCAGUGGCGAAGGCGGCCGCCUGGCACAAAACUGACGCUGAGGUGCGAAAGCGUGGGUAGCAAACAGGAUUAGAUACCCUUGUAUG